GUUCAGGUCUGUGUAAUCCCGAGAAGAAAAUGUUGGAACUCCAUGCAAACGAUGUCUGCUCAAAGAGUCCAACUCUACCAUCAGAAGAUGAUUGAUGGUCUUGAUCGAUCAACUGGAAGUCACAUGUGCAUUUUGUAAGCCAGUCAUUCAUGAGAUAUAUAGAUAUAAGAAGUAUAAUAUUGAUGUUGCACAAAACUUAAAUAGAGUGACAUUGAUACUGAUAGAUGAUUCAUAUAGCCGAAUUCAACUUGCUCGGGAUUGAGACAUAGUUGUUGUUGUACCAUUGUUGC
Molecule: unclassified non-coding RNA, 290 nt
Filed under: Hevea brasiliensis (rubber tree)
Lineage: Eukaryota; Viridiplantae; Streptophyta; Magnoliopsida; Malpighiales; Euphorbiaceae
Source: RNAcentral